Molecule: long non-coding RNA, 207 nt
Filed under: Manihot esculenta (cassava)
Lineage: Eukaryota; Viridiplantae; Streptophyta; Magnoliopsida; Malpighiales; Euphorbiaceae
Description: long non-coding RNA (MESC_LNC007452)
Source: RNAcentral
GCUGGUCACGCAUCCCCCUUCGCCAAUCGCGACGUCUUUGCCGCCGAUUUCCAGACCAGUCGCUCCUCCCUCAUCGGUCGUGGCUUCUUCCGCCUCCGCCGCCGUCAACCUCCUCGCCGGUUGCAGCUAGCGUUUGCGGAUGAGAUGAGUUAUGAUGACGAGGAGGUGAAAUAUGAGAUGAUCGAAAAAUGCAACCCAACCACCAGC